ACGGAAGGCAGCAGUGGGGGAUAUUGCACAAUGGAGGAAACUCUGAUGCAGCAACGCCGCGUGAGGGAAGAAGGCUUUCGGAUUGUAAACCUCUGUUUUCAGUGAAGAAACAAAUGACGGUAGCUAAAGAGGAAGCCACGGCUAACUACGUGCCAGCAGCCGCGGUAAUACGUAGGUGGCAAGCGUUGUCCGGAUUUACUGGGUGUAAAGGGUGCGCAAGCGGGACUGCAAGUUGGAUGUGAAAAUCCGGGGCUCAACCUCGGAACUGCAUCGGAAACUGUGGUUCUUGAGUGGAGCAGAGGUAAGCGGAAUUCCGAGUGUAGUGGUGAAAUGCGUAGAUAUUCGGAGGAACACCAGUGGCGAAGGCGGCUUACUGGGCUCUAACUGACGCUGAGGCACGAAAGUGUGGGUAGCAAACAGGAUUAGAUACCCUGGUA
This 437-nucleotide ribosomal RNA is filed under the name uncultured Clostridium sp. RNAcentral describes it as "partial 16S ribosomal RNA". It matches the Rfam family "Bacterial small subunit ribosomal RNA", at positions 341 to 792 of the family's 1533-position model. Lineage: Bacteria; Bacillati; Bacillota; Clostridia; Eubacteriales; Clostridiaceae. The record is from RNAcentral.